GGAAACAUUGCACUAGUCGAUUUUUUUUCAUCAAAACCUUAUCCUCUCGUCCCUAUCUCUCCCUUCAACCGUUCAUCUCUGCAACUCCGGUGACCGGCGCGUGGCGGCUCUGUUAGCGCCACCGCCGGUCCCUUUAGCUUUAUUUUCAUUGUCUUUAGUAGAUCUCGUGUUUAGAUUAUGUUAGGGUGGGUUUCUAGUUAGGCGGAGGGCUUUGGUUCGAGGAGCUUGUGUCGGGUCACGGUUUUCAUGGAGGUCGUGUGGCUAGUUGGUUGGGCCCGCCUCCGGUUCAUGGUGGUCCCUUAUCGAGUUGUGUCUCGGAUUCCUUCGUGCUUGUUUGGAUUGGUUAAUCGGAUGGUCUGGUAGCGUCAUGGUCUUGGCGGUGGUUUUGGAGUUGAUUGCUGGUGUUGGUCUUUCCGAUUGGUGUCUGUUGUAUCUUUAGCAACGGGUUUGUUUUGGCGGGGCCAAAUGUUCCGGCUUUAGUUUCUAUAACAGAUUUCUUGUUGGUUUGGCCUGGUCUUGUUCCUGUGCUCGGCGUUUCUUCUUAUCCGUAUCAAGGUCGCUAUGCUAGGAGUUGGUUCAAGUCUGGUUCGUGGUUCGUCUUUUGGAUGUGGUCUUGUUGCGGGAGCAUAUACUCUCUCUUCCUAGAAGCUGUGUGUUUCUAGUGGGGUUAUUAGCGUCGCAAUGGGUCCAUCCUUCAGUUCUUCUCUUGCAAGGAGGUGGCCAUUCUUCAGUCGGUAGAUGGCUGAGUUUGGGAUGCGAGGGUCCGCGUGUAAGAAUUGGAGGUCUUGGAAGGCGUUUUCCCGGUCAGAGUUCAAGGUUUUUAUCUUGUGCUUGAGCUUGUUUUCGGUUUUGGCUCCUCUUGGUAAUGGUCGUGGUGAAGUUUCUGCCUUUGCUCUGUGUUAUGUUGCAACUAUCUCGGCCGUUUAGAGUCUGGUGGGGUUCUUGGUGUUCACGCUUCGCUUUGUAGCAGUGUGGUUAUACUCGAGCUCUUGUCUUUCAGCUCUGUUGGCGAUAUGCAGAUGGUAUGAUUGAGUAUUAUGGAUUUGGAGACCCUCUAGUGAUUAGUCUCAAGUUGGUAUGAAUGUUGUUAUUUUGUUUCUCUAGAUAGUCUGGUUCCUAUAAAUCUCUUAGGUAUAGGUUCCCGUAAAUCAUUCGGGCUUUGUUUGCCUGAGUAUGGCAUUAUGUUUGUAAGUUUCGUUUCAGAACUCUGUUUAAUCAAAUUUCACUUGUGACGGAAAAGAAAAAAAAGAAACGGAAACAUUGGAAAGGGAAUAAUGAUAUAUUAAACGAACGACUAUACAAGCGAUUAUGUAAUCGUGGAAUGGGUUAGUUACUUGAUGGCAGUGUAGGCAAAUUGAAACUUGGGUACUGUCCUCUUAUACUGGAGCGAACCUAAUCUGGUUUUACUUUUGAACUAGGUGUUUUGCCCGUGAUACGGACUUUAUACUAAAAUAAAUCUUAAAAUAACUCAAUAUUCUAUUUUUUAAUUAUAUAAUUUAUGUCUUUUUAACUUCUUACUAGAAGAAUUUUUCAGAUAACAAUACAAUAUAUAUAUAUAUAUAUAAAUUAUCUUUUUUAAUUAUAUUUUUAUCUUUUGAAUAAUUCAAUAUUCUAUUUUAACUAUAUAAUUAAAAAUUUUAUUUGAUUAAUAUUUAGUUAUAUAAUUAUGUUUUUAACUUUUCACUAAAAAAACUUUUUCAGAUAACAAUACAAUAUAUAUAUAUAAAUUAUCUCUUUUUUUAAAAUAUAUUUUCAGACUUUGGAUAAUUCUUACUAUUAUUAAUUUUAAUCAAUUAUAUAAUCAAAUAAAUUAAAUUUUAUUUUUAUUUUUUAAUUUAUUUAUAUAUUUUAUUUAUUAAUGUUAUAAACAAUAUUAACCACUCUAACUUUUAACAUGAGAGGAUUCUAAAAACUUACUUCAUAAAAUAAUAGUAUAGAUCUGUUCCUGUUUUUUUUUAGUAAUGUAUGUUGUGGACUUUGUGGUCUAAAAGGCAAACCGUCACACGCUUUGGUUGGUUGCUCGGCCACUUGAUUGAUAUUAACAAGCUUUUUCAUUAAUUAUUUUAUUUUUAUUUUUUUUAAAUACGUGACAGAUUAGGAUAAGUAGUCAAAAAAUUGUCAAGAGGCUCUCUCUUUCCUCCGUUCUCUCUCCAAAAUCUUUCACGGAGGAGAUUAAGAGAGUACUCUGAUCUUUUUGUGUUUCUGAUCAGUUUGAUCAGAUGUUUGCCUCUGGGAAGCGGUGGUUCUCUUAACACCAUCUUCGCCGGCUUUUGACUCCGGGAAACUGUGAUCCUUUUCACUGUUUUCGCCGGCUCACCACCGGGGUUCUCCCGGUUCCGUUCGAUCAGCGUUCUAGUGGUUUUUUGUUCAAUCAAUUCUCGCUCUCAAUCUUCGAUUCUCGAUUCCUCUCCUUGUUAAAGGCGUUUCUCAUCUUCGAGCUUUUCCUCUAUCUAUAAAGAUGAUCGGUGUGCAUGUAGGAAUCUCGAUGAUUGGGUUAGAAUGAAAUCGAUUGAUUUGUUUGAAGCGCUUGAUCUGCCUAGCCUGACUCUUCGGCUGAUCUGGGUUGAGAGCCGUUCGUUUUGAACGGAUUCUCCUUCGCUUAGGUCUCGUUGACGGUGGAGCUCCGCCGUAUCGUCUUGCUGGCUCCGGAGGAAGCUGUAUCUCUCGCGACUUGACGCGUGGCCAUUGAUUGCUGGGCAAUCGACCACGUGGUGGAAGCAUGAAGAUCACUUCCCCAACGGUUUUCUUUUGGGCUUAUGGCCCAAAAGUUUUAUGUACGAUGGCCCUUUGUUUUAGGCCUUUUGUCUUUUUCUUGUUUCGGGCUUGUCCUAGUUUGGCCUUGUCCAUUAAUAAAUUACAGUGACAAAAAAAAAAAAAAAAGUAGUCAAAAAAUUCAAAGAUGGAGACAAGUGAAUUACGGGACGCCUUUUGUUUGUGUGUGUUUUCUACUAUUAAAAAUUUAAUCGUUGGUCUUGUGCCGGUUUAUCAUAACUCCAAUGGCUAACGCCAACGUUUCCUCUGUCCUGCAGCUUCUUUUUCUUCUGAUUAUCUUAUCUGGCAAUGCUGUUGAUUCUACCUCUAUCGUCAAGUAUCUUCCUGGCUUUGAAGGUCCUCUUCCUUUUGAGCUCGAAACCGGGUUUGUUUGCUGAAAAACUCUACCAUACUAAACCGGGUUUUGCUCUGAGUUUGAAGUUGAGUAUCUAUGACUUUCUCUUGAAAGGUAUGUUGGUGUUGGUGUUGGUGAGGAAGAGCAAGUGCAAUUGUUCUACUACUUCAUCAAAUCUGAGAGGAAUCCAGAAAAAGACCCUCUUCUCCUCUGGUUAAGUGGGGGACCUGGUUGCUCUUCAAUCUCCGGUCUUCUUUACGAGAAUGGUAAUUUGACUCACUUUAACUCACUGUUAUGUUGUGUCUCUGAAUCAAGAUUACAAAAAGAACAGGGCCUGUGACUGUGAAAUUUGAGGUUUACAAUGGAACUCUUCCUUCCUUGAUCGCUACUACAUAUUCAUGGACUAAGGUAUCACAAAGUGUUGUACAUUAUUCAAAUAUUAUGACAAAUAAAAACUCCCAAUUGUUUAUGCCUCAUUUGUUUUUUCAAGUUGUGCAUCAGAUAUCAAGUAUAAUAUAUUUGGAUCAGCCUGUUGGAACUGGCUUCUCCUACUCAAGAACUCAUCUUGCUAGCAAACCAAGUGAUUCAGGAGAAGUCAAGCUGGUCCACGAGUUUCUUCAAAAGGUUUUAAAAAAAAAAGAAGAUUUAAUUGGUCAUCUCUUGAAGCAUCUCUUAUUUGUGCGGAUACAUACAUUUACGAGCCCUUUUAUUUUGUGUGGUUGUUGUUGGUUGUGCAGUGGCUAAACAAGCAUCAAGAGUUUUUGUCCAACCCUUUUUAUGCAGGUGGAGAUUCUUAUUCCGGUAUGGUUCUUCCCGCACUCGUUCAAGAAAUCUCAAAAGGAAACUAUUUAUGCUGCAAACCUCCAAUAAACCUUCAGGGCUACGUGCUCGGAAACCCGGUAACCGAUAUUGAGUUUGAUCAUAACCAUCGCAUUCCGUUUACUCAUGGAAUGGCACUGAUCUCUGAUGAACUUUACGAGGUAUGAAACUACUGUUGUCUGAAAGUAGAUAGCAAAAGUAGCUGAAAACUCUUGUUUUGUGAGCAGUCGAUGAAGAGAAUCUGCAAAGGAGAGUAUGAAACUGUAGAUCCAAGUAACAAGGAAUGCUUGAAACUCGUUGAAGAAUAUCAUAAGUGCACUGAUAGAAUAAACUACUCACUUGUCACGACGCCAUUGUGCGAAGAUGACCCAUCUCCCGAUUGCUAUGUACGUGAUCCAUCUUACGUACACUCUGUUAACUGUUUGAUAAUGUUUUUACGAGUUUGCAUUUACAGGAUUAUAGGUACGUGUUAACUACCUACUGGGCCAAUGAUGAGAGUGUGCGCAGGGCUCUACACAUUAAUAAGGUAAUAGAUGAGUAUGACAAAAAGUUAAGAUUCACGAUAUUAUGGUGAUGACGAGGAACUAUGAUUGCAGGAGAGUAAAGGGAAAUGGGUACGUUGUGACUGGGAUAUGGCUUACACUAAUGACAUCAAAAGCAGUGUACCAUACCAUAUGAAUAACAGCAUCAAUGGCUAUCCUUCUCUCAUCUUCAGGUGAGCAGAGUUUUAGCCUCUUGCUAUAAAAUCAAAGGCUUUUUUUUCUUCUUAACUUAUGUUUUGUUGGGUGAACAGUGGUGAUCAUGACAUGUACGUGCCUUCCCUUGGAACUCAAGCUUGGAUUAGAUCGCUUAAUUAUUCUGUCACUGAUGACUGGAGACCUUGGAUGAUAGGCGAUCAAAUCGCCGGGUAUAUUACCUUCUUUUUGUUCAUUCUCUUGUUGUUAAUUUAUUUCUAUUGUUGUAUGAACUCAUUAGAUUUGCUCUAUUUUGGCAGAUACACUAGGACUUAUGCCAAUAAUAUGACAUUUGUGACUAUCAAAGCAAGUCUUUCUUUGUUUCCACUCAAACAUUUUGAUAGCUGUUUUUGUCACUUUAUGUUUAUUAACUGAACCGUGUGCUUGUAGGGAGGAGGGCACACUCCAGAGUAUAAACCAGAGGAGAGUUAUAUCAUGUUCCAAAGGUGGAUCAGUGGCCAACCUCUUUAGCAACAAGUCCAAGUUCAGGACGGGUCCUGGCCAUAUAACUUGGCUAUGGGCUAUUCUGAAACAUUGGUCAAGAACCCCCAAUUUUUUAAGAAUAAUCUACAUAAAGUAUAUAAAUCCCAAAUUAUUAUAGCAAAAUCUUAUCAAUGUUUUUAUUAAAUUGUUUAUAAUUUCCAAAUUCUCAGAACCCGUCCAACAACAUUAUUAUUUUAUCGAAGCAUCUGUAUAUGACUAUUUCGUCUUAUCGAUAAGAAACCUUUACUCUUCAAGUGAACUUUUAAUGUGCUAUAUUAUGUACUUUUAUUCUGCACUUUGAUGUAGCACUUAUAUUUGAAUCUUUUAGAAGAAGAACAUGUCCGAGUGUUUUGGUCGGAUGUCGAACCGAAAUCUUUUUUAUUUUUGUGGUAAGCCUAACGUUAGCAAGGGGAACUGUUUCAACCAUCAUUUUAAGGUUUUUUUCUUAGUUUAUGAUUCAGUUAGUGAAGAACCAAAGAUGUGUAUUGUGAUUAUUAACGAGAGUGCUAAGAUGUGGAACUAAGUAGAAUCAUACAACUUUCCCUGCACCUAAGUAGUAUCUUUAGGCCCUUCUGGUCCAAAACCUUCAGACAUGAACUCUGUUUGCAAGUACAAACUCAACAAUGAAAUCAUGUUUUUGAUGGUGAUGACAGAAGAGCACAAACAUAAAGUAGAUACUAAAGUAAGCCGGAUCUUGUACAGAAAACAGGAAGAUCAAAAUUACGCAAGUACCUAUUCUGAGAAUCCUCUCCUGCUAUGUUUGCUGUACGUUUCUCUUCCUCUAUUCUGUCCUUAGCAAAUCUUUUCCACUUGAUGUUAUCACAAUAUGUAUAUAUAUAUAGUUGGACGACAAAGAAUGAGACCAAGUGCAGACAUAAGCGAGUAUAUCCACUUUGACUGUUAAAGCCUUACUCUGCCUUUGUUCAAGAACGAGGUUGAUCACUCUUUUUCUUCAGAGGACAACGACACUGGCUGCUUCAUGGGAUAAACAAUGUAGGCUCCAGUUAAAAUACGUGUUGCCUUUCCUCGGCAAAAUAUCUGUGAUCCAACCCAAAAAUAGAGGAUCAGUAGUAGCAUAAGCAUUUAAUAGUGUAUCAAACUGGAUAGGUAGAGUAUAGCAGAUUAGCAACGAAUUCCACAUAUACAAACUAGAAAAAAGGUAUAAAUCAUAUCCAUAGAAAUGCAAAAAUGAAGAAAGACAUAAGCCGCCGAUGAUAGCAUCUUACCGACUGAGCGAGUAUUCUUAUCCAUCAGAUAUUAUCAAGUCAUUCCCACAAAGAAGAGGCCUUUUACUAAAUGAACUCUGACUUGUUUACCGUACAAACUCUUCUUGAACAUUCUCAGAAACUGCAAUUUUUUCAUUCCUUUGAAUCGUUCAUCCCUUUUCGAUGUCUCUGAUACUUUAAAAGAAAUGACAAACAUCCUCUCAUUACCCUGAAAAAAAAUAAAUUUUAAGGGAAAAAAUGAUACCCUGAAAUUUUUACAAAAUUUACCUGUUCAAAAAACGAUGCUAAAACAAAAAAAACUUACAGUUUGAUCAAUAAGAACGUCGCAACCCUUGCUAGUAUCCAUCAAGAAUUGACGCUUUGCAGGCUGGUUAAUGAAUGGUCUAAGAACUAUAUCUCUGCCUAAUUUUUGCAGCACAGGUUUCAUACGUAUGACUCUCUUUUCUGAUAUUCGUAUCAGAGACGUAUGCAACAAAAUAUUAAGACCACUUCCAACAUCCAACUCACUGUCUUCCAGCAACCGCAUCACAUUCUCAUAUGUCUUAUUAUUGAGAAAACAAGCAAUAUGACGAAACAGAACCUUCUCGUUCCAAUCUAACCUGUCGUACAGUGCUUUCCCAAUUUCCUGGUUUAGACUACUAGGCAUUGUUGCUCCCACCACAUCUAAAUACUCUUUUGGUGUAAUAUUUAGUGCAAAAGAAAUAUCGUCCGCCAUUUUUUGAAUUAUCUCUGCUUCAGAGUCCCUGAUUGGAAGAAAGAUGAUGGAGUAAAUACUUUAGAACUUAAAAUCCAAAGUAAUAGAUAAAACAGAUUACUUACCAGUCUGGGAAAUAAUAUCCCUUAUGUUGGUUUAAUACAGUCAAAGCUUCCACCCAUUUCUGUUGCUUGUGAUUGUCUACUGUAUACCCUUUCUUGGAGGCCUUUCCAAGGUCCAGGAUCUGAGUCCUGAUAUGAGCAGGUUCCACACCGUAAUAAACGGGUAUCACUUCUUGACCAAUCUCUUUGCCGCACUUUAUGAUCUCCACCAACCCAUCCAAGCACCAGCUCGAAGACACGUAGUUAUUUGAAAGCACAACUACAGCUAUUCUUGAUUCUCUUAUCCCAUGUUGCUCAUCGCCUGGCACAAGCAUAUCAUCAGUACAUGCAGUGACCUUUCUGAUACUGAACUCCUUGUACAAGUGACUGAUUAAAGUUUUGCGAACAUCCUUCCCAUAGAAGCUUAGGAAGACGUCAUUCUUCCAACUGCGAGAAGAAGACCCACUUGAUACUGGAAUGUUAAUCUUGUGUGCACAUUCUUGUGUAUAGUGACUCUGUUCAUCCAAAGAAUAAGAGUCUGAAAAGAAUAUCACCUCCAGUUUCGAAAUGUUUGGGGAUAUUCUUUUUAAACUUUUGCAACCUUUCAUCGAUACGUAACUGAGUCUAGAGAUGUCUUCUAUCCGCUCAGGAACUUCUUCAAUCUUGGUUUCAUCUAGAAAGAGAUGUGAAAUAUUCCUUGAGAUAUGAGGAAAACUUCUUAACUGUGAGCAUCCACUGAAGUUGAGGGAAUGGAGAGACUCCAAGUCAAUGUUGGCUGGAAGAUCCCGCAGUUUUGUGCAUCUUUUCAUGUCUAGCUUCCUCAGUUUCUUGAGACUACGAAUAGAGGAAGGAAUCGUCACCAGACUACAGCAAUCUUCAAGAUACAGUUCCUCAAGACUGGUAGCCUUUGAAAGAUCUGGGAAUACUUUCAGGUUUUUAGAUCUCCGCAAAUCCAUCGUCUUGAGGCUUUUAAGCACCUGAUCAUUACACAAGAGGGCAACCGGAAGUUAAAGAUAUGUAACACAUGUCAAAACUUCAUACAGUUCAAAUUUAAACUUGUUCAUAGUAAAUCUGAUUACUCUUUCAUUUGCCAAAAUUUAAUAUAUAUCCAAAAUUUAAUAAAACUUUACCUCAACUCCUUCCCACAAUUUGUGAAGUUGACUAUCCGGCAUUCUGAGCUCAACAAGAUUUUCUGCACGAAAGUUCAAAGGCAUGCUUGUCAUUGAGCAGCCCCACCAUUCCAGUAAUCUAAGUUGGCGCCAAAUAUGGUUUUUGCCUUCUUGUAAAUGCAUGGACCCCCACCAGUACCAUUUUCGUAAUCCAAGUUGGCGCCUCCUACGGUUUUUGCCUCCCCGUAAUUGCAAAAUGGUUUCUUUAUCCUCCUCUGAGACCCCGUAGAUUCUUAGAAACCGAAGGUUUUUCAUCCCACUGAAUGCGUCCUCGCUAAUAGAUAAUUCAUCCUCGAUUUCACGUAAGUUCAAAAAUAUGCCUAAAACACUUUUAGUUCCCUGAAAAGUAUUUAGAAACCAAAUCUAUUGGUAACUAACAUGCUUAGAAAAAAAAAAGGUAUCAAGUGAGGCCAAACAUAGAAACUUACAGUUCCAUCAACAAGUACAUCAUAGAUCUCCUUAGAAUCCAAUAAGAAUUCACGUUCUCCAGGGUCCUGAAUACAUGGUUGCCGAACGAUUUCUCUACCCAUUUUUUGCAGGAAAUCGUGCAUCCUUAUGAUCUUAUCCUCUGAUAUCUGAAUGAGGCACCGUUCAGCUAGAGUAACAAGUCCAACAUCCACAUCCAACUUACUAUCUUCAAGCAAUCCUUUCACGUAGUCACAUGGUUUAUGAUUAAAUAAGCAUGCUAUGUGACGGAAUAUAGCUUUAUCUUCUUCUUUUAGCCUGUCAUAGCUGUCUUUUAAUGUUUUAUCAACCUGUCCAGCCAUACGACUUACGAGCUUAGGCAUCCUCUCUUCCAACUCCUCCUUCCUCAACCCAGCGAGGGAUGAACCCAAAACGUUGAGAGCCAGUGGAAGAUUCCCGGUGAGCUCUACAGCAUCACUAGCAAGCUCCGUAAAACCAUCAGGUGGAGAGUCUUGUCCGAACGCACAUCGGCAGAACAUCUGGGAAGCUAGCUCUUUAGAUGGGUAAUCCACCUCAUAGAUACGAUCAGAUUCAAUUCCGCAGGCCCUAAGAAGCUCCCUGUCCUUCGAAAUCACUACAAUUCUACUUCUAGGACCAACCCAUCUAGUUUUCCCCAACACGGCAUCUAAGAGGACCUGGUCAUCCAUAUCAUCAAACACAACAAGAACUUUCUUCUGCCCUAACCUAUAUAUCAUCGUAUGUAAACUAUGUACCUUUAUGUCCUCCUGGUCCAAAAUUUCAGACAGAAACUGUGCUUGUAAGUCCAACUUGGUGUUGUAGUCGUAAGAGUUGGCCCUAGUAUAAAUCUCCUUAGUCUUGUCAAUAAAAAUGCUUCCUUGGAACUGACAGGAGAGUUGACUAAAGAGAGCUCGUCCUAUGCUAGUCUUACCAACACCAGAUGGACCCCAAAUCCCUACCAUUACCACCCUCUCUGACUCCAACUCCAACAACGAAUUCAUGUUUUUCAUGUGAGCUUCGAUUCCAACAAAGUCGUCAAAAUCAUUGCAUGCUGUUGAACACAGUUUGUUGGAAACAUCAUUGACGAUUUUCUCAAUCAUCUUUGCUUCGUCAGACCUAACACAAACCAAAAAUAGAUAGCAUUUAGAAGUAAAAUCACUCGAGCCACUAUAUUUUUUUUUCUAAAAUAGAAAUUGCUAUUUUGAGAUAUAUAUAUUUAGAGAAAUGAAUAGCAUUCAUGUAUAAUGUAUAAUAGAGACAUACUUUUAAAUUUACAAAAUGAUCUUUUAACUUUUUACUCUGACAAUUAUAACCAAUCUAUUGUUUACAUAAUAGUUGUUACAGGAAUAUUUAGUGUAAAUAAUUUCAUAAUUUUAUGAAAUGUUAAAAUAAAUUGGGUUAGUUUUCAACUUUCACAAAUAAAAGAUAUUAUUUGUAAAAUUAGAAAAGAAUAUAUCAAUAAUAUUUUUUUUUAGAAAAAGAAAUAGAAAAAUAUAUUGGACACAAAUUCAUCUCUAUUAUAGAGUUUUCUAUUUUAAAGAGAAACAAAAUAAGGAAAUACAUUGGAAAUGAUCAAAAAAUGAAUUCAAAAUUAAGAAUGAACCAGUUCCGAGAAUCCUCUCCGGCUAUGGUUGCUGCGUGAGUCAACGCUCGCCGCCACCGAAGCUUCUCUUCCUCCUUUCUGCCUUGGCAAGUCUUCUCGAAGAUCACUCCAAAGCGUUCAGUUUGUUUCUUGACAUGAGAAGGAUCCACGUCAUAGAAAAUUGGUAUCAAAAUUUGGCCAAGUUCUUCCCUGCACUUGAUGAUCUCCACCAACUCAUCCAAGCACCAGCUGGAACUUGCGUAGUUAUCAGAGAACGCGACAACAGAGAUCCUCGAUCCUCUAAUGGCGUUGAUCAGCUCAUGGCCAAUGGAUCUGCCUUUUACAAUCUCAUCGUCCUUGAAGGGAGUGAUUAGUUUGCGGUUGAGCUCCUUGAGAAAGUGGGAACGGAAUCUGACGCGCACGUCUUCCCCUCUGAAGCUGAGGAAAACAUCGUGUGGACAGUUGAUCUCUGAAGAAGAAGAAGCCAUGUGAAACUCAGAGAGAAGUAUGAAAGGCUUAAGAAGAAUACUUAAAGUCAAAAACAAGGAAGUGGUCAAUAUUUAAAGAGUCAUUGUUCUCUAAAGAGAACAAAUCCUAUAGGGACCACAAACAAAACUACUUACUUUCUCAGAUUCCAAACACAAUAAGAAGAAAGAUGAUGACUCCUUUAGACACUAGUCACUAAGAAGAAAAGAACAUCCAUGAAUUUUCAUGUAAUAUAAAAAUCCAAAUAAACUCACCAUACUCCGUAACUUUGGUUUUCUUGUCAUCUUCACUUGAGCUUGCGUCCUUGCGAUGGAGAUCGAGUGAGGAACUGAGAGCUCAAUGAACAAACACAAAUCCCAAUGAUGCCGUUUGUUAAUUGGUUUGUGGAAGAAAAGUCUCAGAAAGUCAUUGGGCCCAGGUUCAAGUUUUUUUUCAAAGCCCAAAUAUGAAAUAUUUAUCAUAUCCAAAUAUGACAAGUUUAAAUCCGGAGUUGUGUGUUCAAAAAAAAAAAAAAAAAAAUCCGGAGUUGAAUUUAUUUUCUAUUGGUUUUGUGAUUCAUAAAUUUUAAUUCAAAUUGUGUAUUAUUAAAUCAUAUGCAUAAUAACUUUUAUUUUAUAAUGGUUUUUGUUGAAUUUGAAGAGAAUUCAUUGAUAAAAAAACUACAUAGACUUGAAGCUGAAUGAAAGUUUCAUAUUAUUAAAUAGUAAAUUAAAUCUAUAUGUUAAAUUUUGAAAUCAAAUUAAAUUUACUGAUUUCCAAAUAAAAUUUGUUGACAAAAAAAACUAAAAUCAGUAAUUUUUCUUUGGAUUUGUAAAUUUAUAUAGAAUUUUUAAAUCAGUUAAAUAUAUAAAUGGAUAGGUUUUUACAGUGCUAGCUCUCUACUUCUUUCAGAAUUAGAAACUAAGCUAACUACUGUUUGAAGUUAGUCUAAUGUUUAUAUUGCAACACGCACUAUUUGGUAAAUAAAGUAGAAGCAGAGCUUUAAAUCAAUAAUUAUCUUAGAUGUUUGACAACUUGAUUCAUUGCUUUAUUUGCUUGGAAUUAAUUAAUUAACCGAUAAUGGAUGGAACAUGCUUAAAGAGAAAAUUGAUGUUGACCCAUGUUCAAUUUCUAGUGUUUUGUUUCAUUCACACACCACUUUCCUCGGAGGUCAGAUUUUAUUAGCUGAUUUAUCCUCUCCACCAACCCUACAGUCUCAACUUGCUUUAAUUUGCAAUCUAGUCUAAGUUCAUGAACUAUGGAGUGUGAACAAAUAUCAAUUUACAAUCUAGUCAAUGUUACAUGAACUAUGGAGAGUGAGCAAAUUUUAAUUUACAGUCUAGUCAAAUAAAGAUGUAAAAUUAUAACAUUAAUGAGAUCAACACAAAAUUAUUCUUUCUUUUUUUACCAAAAAAGCACAAAAUUAUUCUGCUGAAUACCUCCAUAGGUUUCAGAAAUGUUAAUUUUGCCCAAAAACAUACACUAAAACUCUUUCUCAAAAAAAACAUACACUAAAACUUUGUCUAAAAUCAUUUUCAUAUAAGGUUUGUUUGUUUUGAUUUAUUUUGUUUCACUUGUUUCCUUUCCUUAAACCAAUUCAGGUAUGCAUUCUCUUAUGUACUGCAUCUUAAUUCAUAUGAAAUACAUAAACAUUAUGAAAAAACAACUUCCGUGAAAUAAAAAGCUAAGAAGUAAAUAAAUAAAUAAAUAUAUAUAUAUAUGUAUAUAUAUAUAUAUAUAUUUAUUUAUUUAUUUAUUUAUGAGAUCAGCAGAAAAGCAAGAGAUGAAUACUAUUUAAUACUCCGUUAGGUUUCAGAAAUAUUAAUUUUGACCCAAAACCAACAUUAAAAAUAAUUAAUACUUAAACUUCUUCUAAACACUAAUAAUUUUUAUUUACUUGAUAGAAAGGUUUGCUUGUUUU
This 12723-nucleotide long non-coding RNA is filed under the name Brassica rapa (field mustard). RNAcentral's name for it is "long non-coding RNA (BRAP_LNC002850)". The record is from RNAcentral. Lineage: Eukaryota; Viridiplantae; Streptophyta; Magnoliopsida; Brassicales; Brassicaceae.